GAGCUGUGGAGAGCACUGCCUGGAGGCUGCAGCCAUCUUCAGGAGCUCCUCAUUUCCGAUGCUCCGACGUUAGGUGUUUGGUUUGUACUCUCCAUGGAUCUUUUGUCAGAUUUUAUUUGUCUGUUGAUCUUUGCCAUGUUGGCGGUAUCCCUCCGCCCAUUGCAGCACGGCGGGACUCCAGGGCACGGCAGGGCACGGCAGGGCAGGGCCGCCCGCGCCCCUCAGCUCCACAGCCGUGACACAAAGGGGCAGCCCGGCGAGAGGGUCCCCGUGGCUCCGGGCAGCGAGAUGCUGCUCCCGACCCCGACAAGGAGGGUCCAGCUAGGAGCCCCUCGAAGGGGAUUUCGCAGAGAGCGAUCGGCAGGAUAGAAACCCGUCGUUAUUACAAGUACUAAUGAGUUCUCCAGGCGCUCCCCUCGGGCCGAGGAACUGCCGUGCUCCGCAGAGGGACCGUCGAGGAGAAAUAACUCCGGUGCGGACGCCCCGUCCCUGGCGGCUGCGGACCGCUCGGUGCCACCGCGGGCGCUCCGCGUUCGUCGCAGUGUUGGGACCGCAGUGCUCCGCCCGGAGCUGCGCUGUGUCCCUCCCGACGGAAAGUCCAACACAACGCAGUUCCAAAAAGAAAGGGAAAAGGUUUGAUUUAAUCCAGAAAAUAAUUAAAAUCUCAUGUAUUUUUAUUGGUUUGAGUAUCCAGCAGAGUGAAAAUAUUGAAACUCCGAGCCCCCUUGCAUUAAAAAGUCACAACUGCUCCAUUUUAUUGGUUCUGACUGUGUGAAAAAAAUUAUAAGGACAACAUUGAAAAAAUCCGGGUUUUAGAGCCCCGAAUGGCCGUAAAAACAAUAAAAUCAACUAUAAAACCUGCA
Molecule: long non-coding RNA, 863 nt
Filed under: Chrysolophus pictus (golden pheasant)
Lineage: Eukaryota; Metazoa; Chordata; Aves; Galliformes; Phasianidae
Description: lncRNA (ENSCPIG00010007003.1)
Source: RNAcentral